CAGGGCUUAGGAAUAGGGUUAAGGUUAGGAGUGAGGUUAGGGUUAGGGCCAGGGCUAAGGAGUAGGGUUAAGGUUAGGAGUGAGGUUAGGGUUAGGGCCAGGACUUAGGGAUGGAGUGAGGUUAAGGCUAAGGGUUUGGGUUAGGAUUAGGUUAGAUAAGGUUAGGAUUAGGGAUAUAGGUAUGGGUUAUGGUUAGGGUUAGGUUAAGACCCCUAUGUUCCCAUUUAAUCCAUGUGGAAAUUUGGUUGAGAGCUGUCUGAUCCAUUUGUUUUCCGCUCUAAUCCUCUCACUUUUGUUCCAGGUGGUGACUGACUCCAGGCCGGCCAGGCGGAUGGAAUCAGUGCCAUGGGCCAAAAAAUGACGGACAACUGGGGAGGCGAUUAAAUCUAAGUGUGGAGGAGGAGAACUUUGUGAUGAGAGGGAUGAGCUGCUCCUUUCGCUCGGCUCCUGGCUGUAGAAAAGAGCGGAGACAGGCCCUCAGCUUGGUACGCGAGUAUCCUCUACGCCUCAAGGUCCUAAACAACACUCUAGUAGCUUCGUAGAAGUCACAGGGCCUAGUACAGAUCCUGUGAAAUCUAAGAAGCUGGGACUUAACAAUGCCUGCAAAAGUGAAGCGGGGGUGAAAGCUACUCCUGUGUAAAAGUGCAUGUGUGUCUGUAGGUUUGAAAAAUACUUUUACAUCCACCUUAUGGGACUGUACAAAAGAUGGGCCUUUAAAGACUGUAGUGUCCAGGAAAUCUACUGAGUGAUAACUGUGGGUGUGUUUAAUUUUGAUAGAUGGAUCAAAUGUAUUCAAUGUGUUUAAAAAGUCUUGAAAUUCCGAUU
Long non-coding RNA from Thalassophryne amazonica, 825 nucleotides. RefSeq lists it as uncharacterized. Lineage: Eukaryota; Metazoa; Chordata; Actinopteri; Batrachoidiformes; Batrachoididae. The record is from RefSeq and is a predicted model, not a curated record. The transcript is spliced from 3 exons.